GGGUUGUGAGGUUAAGCGACUAAGCGUACACGGUGGAUGCCCUGGCAGUCAGAGGCGAUGAAGGGCGUGCUAAUCUGCGAUAAGCGCCGGUAAGGUGAUAUGAACCGUUAUAACCGGCGAUACCCGAAUGGGGAAACCCAGUGUGACUCGUCACACUAUCAUUAACUGAAUCCAUAGGUUAAUGAGGCGAACCGGGGGAACUGAAACAUCUAAGUACCCCGAGGAAAAGAAAUCAACCGAGAUUCCCCCAGUAGCGGCGAGCGAACGGGGAGGAGCCCAGAGCCUGAAUCAGCAUGUGUGUUAGUGGAAGCGUCUGGAAAGACGCGCGAUACAGGGUGACAGCCCCGUACACAAAAGCGUAUGUGCUGUGAGCUCGAUGAGUAGGGCGGGACACGUGGUAUCCUGUCUGAAUAUGGGGGGACCAUCCUCCAAGGCUAAAUACUCCUGACUGACCGAUAGUGAACCAGUACCGUGAGGGAAAGGCGAAAAGAACCCCGGCGAGGGGAGUGAAAAAGAACCUGAAACCGUGUACGUACAAGCAGUGGGAGCACAGGUUUACCUGUGUGACUGCGUACCUUUUGUAUAAUGGGUCAGCGACUUAUAUUCUGUAGCAAGGUUAACCGAAUAGGGGAGCCGGAGGGAAACCGAGUCUUAACCGGGCGUUAAGUUGCAGGGUAUAGACCCGAAACCCGGUGAUCUAGCCAUGGGCAGGUUGAAGGUUGGGUAACACUAACUGGAGGACCGAACCGACUAAUGUUGAAAAAUUAGCGGAUGACCUGUGGCUGGGGGUGAAAGGCCAAUCAAACCGGGAGAUAGCUGGUUCUCCCCGAAAGCUAUUUAGGUAGCGCCUCGUGAAUUCAUCUCCGGGGGUAGAGCACUGUUUCGGCUAGGGGGUCAUCCCG
RNAcentral lists this ribosomal RNA (902 nucleotides) under Salmonella enterica. RNAcentral describes it as "partial 23S ribosomal RNA". It matches the Rfam family "Bacterial large subunit ribosomal RNA", at positions 1 to 933 of the family's 2925-position model. Lineage: Bacteria; Pseudomonadati; Pseudomonadota; Gammaproteobacteria; Enterobacterales; Enterobacteriaceae. The record is from RNAcentral. RNAcentral also lists the same sequence under 1 other name.